UACGAAGGGGACAAGCGUUGUUCGGAAUUAUUGGGCGUAAAGGGCGCGUAGGCGGACUUGUAAGUCGAUUGUGAAAUCCCUGGGCUUAACCCGGGAACUGCAGUCGAAACUGCAAGUCUUGAAUGCUCGAGAGGAUGGUAGAAUUCCUGGUGUAGAGGUGAAAUUCGUAGAUAUCAGGAGGAAUACCGGAGGCGAAAGCGGCCAUCUGGCGAGACAUUGACGCUGAGGCGCGAAAGCGUGGGGAUCAAACAGG
RNAcentral lists this ribosomal RNA (253 nucleotides) under uncultured bacterium. RNAcentral describes it as "partial 16S ribosomal RNA". It matches the Rfam family "Bacterial small subunit ribosomal RNA", at positions 524 to 776 of the family's 1533-position model. The record is from RNAcentral.